UAGGGAAUAUUGGUUAAUGUGCGAAAGCGCGAACCAGCAACGCCGCGUGUGCGAUGAAGGCCUUCGGGUCGUAAAGCACUUUUUGCAGGGAAGAGGAAGGACGGUACCUGCAGAAUAAGUCUCGGCUAACUACGUGCCAGCAGCCGCGGUAAAACGUAGGAGACGAGCGUUAUCCGGAUUUACUGGGCGUAAAGCGCGUGCAGGCGGCAUGGCAAGUUGGAUGUGAAAGCUCCCGGCUUAACUGGGAGAGGUCGUUCAAUACUGCCAGGCUUGAGAGUAGUAGAGGAAAGCGGAAUUCCGGGUGUAGUGGUGAAAUGCGUAGAUAUCCGGAGGAACGCCAGUGGCGAAAGCGGCUUCCUGGCCCAUUUCUGGCGCUCAGACGCGAAAGCUAGGGUAGCAAACGG
RNAcentral lists this ribosomal RNA (404 nucleotides) under uncultured bacterium. RNAcentral describes it as "bacterial SSU rRNA". It matches the Rfam family "Bacterial small subunit ribosomal RNA", at positions 355 to 775 of the family's 1533-position model. The record is from RNAcentral.